This 21-nucleotide ribosomal RNA is filed under the name Ceropegia denticulata. RNAcentral's name for it is "partial 26S ribosomal RNA". Lineage: Eukaryota; Viridiplantae; Streptophyta; Magnoliopsida; Gentianales; Apocynaceae. The record is from RNAcentral.
GACCGCGACCCCAGGUCAGAC